GAUGAAGAACGCAGCGAAAUGCGAUAAGUAAUGUGAAUUGCAGAAUUCAGUGAAUCAUCGAAUCUUUGAACGCACAUUGCGCCCGCCAGUAUUCUGGCGGGCAUGCCUGUUCGAGCGUCAUUACAACCCUCAGGCCCCCGGGCCUGGCGUUGGGGAUCGGCGGAAGCCCCCUGUGGGCACACGCCGUCCCUCAAAUACAGUGGCGGUCCCGCCGCAGCUUCCAUUGCGUAGUAGCUAACACCUCGCAACUGGAGAGCGGCGCGGCCAUGCCGUAAAACACCCAACUUCUGAAUGUUGACCUCGAAUCAGGUAGGAAUACCCGCUGAACUUAAGCAUAUCAAUAAGCGGACGA
Molecule: unclassified non-coding RNA, 352 nt
Filed under: soil metagenome
Description: partial contains 5.8S ribosomal RNA, internal transcribed spacer 2, and large subunit ribosomal RNA
Rfam family: 5.8S ribosomal RNA (bases 1-120)
Source: RNAcentral